UAGGGAAUCUUCCGCAAUGGGCGAAAGCCUGACGGAGCAACGCCGCGUGAGUGAUGAAGGUCUUCGGAUCGUAAAACUCUGUUAUUAGGGAAGAACAAAUGUGUAAGUAACUAUGCACGUCUUGACGGUACCUAAUCAGAAAGCCACGGCUAACUACGUGCCAGCAGCCGCGGUAAUACGUAGGUGGCAAGCGUUAUCCGGAAUUAUUGGGCGUAAAGCGCGCGUAGGCGGUUUUUUAAGUCUGAUGUGAAAGCCCACGGCUCAACCGUGGAGGGUCAUUGGAAACUGGAAAACUUGAGUGCAGAAGAGGAAAGUGGAAUUCCAUGUGUAGCGGUGAAAUGCGCAGAGAUAUGGAGGAACACCAGUGGCGAAGGCGACUUUCUGGUCUGUAACUGACGCUGAUGUGCGAAAGCGUGGGGGUCAAACAGGAUUAGAUACCCUGGUAGUCCACGCCGUAAACGAUGAGUGCUAAGUGUUAGGGGGUUUCCGCCCCUUAGUGCUGCAGCUAACGCAUUAAGCACUCCGCCUGGGGAGUACGACCGCAAGGUUG
RNAcentral lists this ribosomal RNA (550 nucleotides) under uncultured bacterium. RNAcentral describes it as "bacterial SSU rRNA". It matches the Rfam family "Bacterial small subunit ribosomal RNA", at positions 355 to 896 of the family's 1533-position model. The record is from RNAcentral.